GACGAACGCUGGCGGCGUGCUUAACACAUGCAAGUCGAACGGAAAGGCCCUGCUUUUGUGGGGUGCUCGAGUGGCGAACGGGUGAGUAACACGUGAGUAACCUGCCCUUGACUUUGGGAUAACUUCAGGAAACUGGGGCUAAUACCGGAUAGGAGCUCCUGCUGCAUGGUGGGGGUUGGAAAGUUUCGGCGGUUGGGGAUGGACUCGCGGCUUAUCAGCUUGUUGGUGGGGUAGUGGCUUACCAAGGCUUUGACGGGUAGCCGGCCUGAGAGGGUGACCGGCCACAUUGGGACUGAGAAACGGGCCAGACUCCUACGGGAGGCAGCAGUGGGGAAUAGUGCACAAUGGGCGGAAGCCUGAUGCAGCAACGCCGCGUGCGGGAUGACGGCCUUCGGGUUGUAAACCGCUUUCGCCUGUGACGAAGCGUGAGUGACGGUAAUGGGUAAAGAAGCACCGGCUAACUACGUG
RNAcentral lists this ribosomal RNA (468 nucleotides) under uncultured bacterium. RNAcentral describes it as "partial 16S ribosomal RNA". It matches the Rfam family "Bacterial small subunit ribosomal RNA", at positions 28 to 507 of the family's 1533-position model. The record is from RNAcentral.